Molecule: long non-coding RNA, 557 nt
Filed under: Homo sapiens (human)
Lineage: Eukaryota; Metazoa; Chordata; Mammalia; Primates; Hominidae
Description: downregulated RNA in cancer, inhibitor of cell invasion and migration
Source: RNAcentral
AAGCUGAUGCUUGUAAAGGAAACAGCUUUCAGGUGGAGCCCAUUUCCCCUCCUGCUGAGCGUGGGCCACACUUAGCGACUGGCUUUCAAUGAAGAGAAUGUAACAGAGGUGAAAGUGUGUGACAUUCGAGGAAAGGCCAUAAAAGACAUUGGUGCUUCAGCUUUGCUCUCGCGGCUGUCUGACUCUGGGGGAAGCCAGCCACCACGUCAUGAGGACACCCAAACAGCCUACGGAGAGGCCCACGUAGGGAGGAGCUGAGGCCCCCUGCCAGCAAGCAGCCCUAGCCCGCCAGCUGUGUGAGUGAGCGAGCCUUUUUGGAAGUGCAUCCUCCUGUCCCAGUCCAGCCCUCAGAUGGCUGCAGCCCUGCUAGCAUCUUGACUGCCGCCUCAUGAGGGACCUCAAGCCAGAACCAACAGCCACGUGGUGCCAGAAUUCCUCAUCUGCAGCAGCCGUGUGAGAUCAUAACUGUUUAUUGCCUUUUUAAGCCACUGAGUUUUGGGGUCGUUUGUUACUCAGCAGUAGAUGAUUAAUAUGCUGUCAUGCAGCUGUCUUGGAAC